AAAAAAAUAAGCGCCCUUGGAUGCUUGGACUGUAAUAUCUAUUUAAGUUUUUGCCAACCGAAAGAUAUCUAUUGUGAAUCUAUAUUUUAAUUCAAAAUUUGUUUAAUUUCUUUUUAUCUCUAAAAUAGAAAUAAAUUCAUACUUAUCCAAAUUUUUGCCAGAAUAUCAAUAUGCUCUAUCCAUCUAUUUUACAUUAAAUUUAACUUUGAGUUUAAAUCGUGAAUUAAAUUUAAUUUUUGAUUUUGAAUAUCAAAUCUAUCAAUCUAUUUUAUAUUAAAAUUUAAAAUUGAUAUUAUAGGUAUUUUUUAAUAAAAUAUAACAUAUAAAUUUAUAAAAUAUUUUAUUCUAAAUUUUUGAAUAAAUAUAAUUUACAAAUUUUUAUUAAUUUAAAAUAAAUUAAAAUAAUUGUUACGUACAUUUGCACGUACGCUCAACUAGUAUACAGUAAAGGCUCAAAACGUAUGAUUCGAUUCUUAUCAUCUUUCGGGUCGGGCCAUUAUCUAAUGGGCGGGUCCAAUCCGUUUACAUUUUAAGUAAACCUGGCCCAAGUUCUCGCCCACCAUACACCACGGUACGUGCUAAGCACAUGAUGCGCAAUUUGUGGUAUUCAUCGUCCUCGUCGCGUACUACAUCUGACACUGUCUUUUUCCCGCUGCUCCUCCGCAAGCGUCUCGAAUGGCGUCGUCCUCCUCCUCUAUCCCCUCCACUCGAUCCAAAACCCUCUCCUCUCCCUCCUUCGUGGCAGAGCCACGAAACCCUCCCCACCCCACCAUCUCCUCUUCCUUCCCCCAUCGCCAUCUCUCCGCCCCACCCCACCAUCUCCUCUCCCUUCCCUCAUCGCUAUCUCUCCGCCUCUCCGCCAAGCUCCGCCUCUCCGAGAUCAUG
RNAcentral lists this long non-coding RNA (885 nucleotides) under Ananas comosus (pineapple). Its description in RNAcentral is "long non-coding RNA (ACOM_LNC021817)". The record is from RNAcentral. Lineage: Eukaryota; Viridiplantae; Streptophyta; Magnoliopsida; Poales; Bromeliaceae.